This 457-nucleotide ribosomal RNA is filed under the name uncultured bacterium. Its description in RNAcentral is "bacterial SSU rRNA". It matches the Rfam family "Bacterial small subunit ribosomal RNA", at positions 343 to 797 of the family's 1533-position model. The record is from RNAcentral.
AGGAGGCAGCAGUAAGGAAUAUUGGACAAUGGUCGCAAGACUGAUCCAGCCAUGCCGCGUGCAGGAUGACUGCCCUAUGGGUUGUAAACUGCUUUUGUACGGGAAUAAACCCCUCUACGUGUAGAGGGCUGAAUGUACCGUAAGAAUAAGGAUCGGCUAACCUCGUGCCAGCAGCCGCGGUAAGACGAAGGAUCCAAGCGUUAUCCGGAUUUAUUGGGUUUAAAGGGUGCGUAGGCGGAUUGAUAAGUCAGUGGUGAAAGCCUGCAGCUUAACUGCAGAACUGCCAUUGAUACUGUCGAUCUUGAAUGUGGUUGAUGUGGGCGGAAUAUGACAUGUAGCGGUGAAAUGCUUAGAUAUGUCAUAGAACACCGAUUGCGAAGGCAGCUCACAAAGCCAUUAUUGACGCUGAGGCACGAAAGCGUGGGGAUCAAACAGGAUUAGAAACCCUGGUAGUCCU